GGAGGACGGCUCUUGGGUUGUAAACCGCUUUUAUUGGGGAAGAAGUACUGACGGUACCCAAUGAAUCAGCAUCGGCUAACUCCGUGCCAGCAGCCGCGGUAAUACGGAGGAUGCAAGCGUUAUCCGGAAUUAUUGGGCGUAAAGCGUCCGCAGGUGGUUGGGCAAGUCUGCUGUCAAAGCGUGGAGCUUAACUCCAUACCGGCGGUGGAAACUGCACAACUCGAGUGCGGUAGGGGUCGAGGGAAUUCCCAGUGUAGCGGUGAAAUGCGUAGAUAUUGGGAAGAACACCAGCGGCGAAAGCGCUCGACUGGACCGCAACUGACACUCAUGGACGAAAGCUAGGGGAGCGAAAGGGAUUAGAUACCCCUGUAGUCCUAGCUGUAAACGAUGGGUACUAGGUGUUGCCCGUAUCGACCCGGGCAGUGCCGUAGCUAACGCGUUAAGUACCCCGCCUGGGGAGUACGCACGCAAGUGUGAAACUCAAAGGAAUUGACGGGGGCCCGCACAAGCGGUGGAGUAUGUGGUUUAAUUCGAUGCAACGCGAAGAACCUUACCAGGGCUUGACAUGUCCGGAACCUCUGUGAAAGCGGAGGGUGCCUUCGGGAGCCGGAACACAGGUGGUGCAUGGCUGUCGUCAGCUCGUGUCGUGAGAUGUUGGGUUAAGUCCCGCAACGAGCGCAACCCUCGUCGUUAGUUGCCAGCAUUGAGUUGGGCACUCUGGCGAGACUGCCGGUGACAAACCGGAGGAAGGUGGGGAUGACGUCAAGUCAGCAUGCCCCUUACGUCCUGGGCUACACACGUACUACAAUGCGGUGGACAAAGAGCAGCAAGUGGGCGACCACAAGCAAAUCUCGUAAACCACAGCACAGUUCAGAUUGCAGGCUGCAACUCGCCUGCAUGAAGGCGGAAUCGCUAGUAAUCCCAGGUCAGCAUACUGGGGUGAAUACGUUCCCGGGCCUUGUACACACCGCCCGUCACACCAUGGGAGUUGGCCACGCCCGAAGUCGUUACUCCAACCGCAAGGAGGAGGACGCCGAAGGCGGGACCGAUGACUGGGGUGAAGUCGUAACAAGGUAGCCGUACCGGAAGGUGUGGCUGGAUCACCUCCU
This 1109-nucleotide ribosomal RNA is filed under the name Onodrimia javanensis 27. RNAcentral describes it as "bacterial SSU rRNA". It matches the Rfam family "Bacterial small subunit ribosomal RNA", at positions 406 to 1531 of the family's 1533-position model. The record is from RNAcentral. Lineage: Bacteria; Bacillati; Cyanobacteriota; Cyanophyceae; Leptolyngbyales; Leptolyngbyaceae.